GUGGGCUUCUAAUCUGGUCAGGUGGUGAUAAAUUCCCUUAGCAUUUGCUUGACUGAGAAAGACCUUAUUUCUUCUUUAUUUAGGAAGCUUAGUUUGGCCAGAUAUAAAAUUCUUGGCUGAUAUUUUUUUUUCUUUAAGAAGGAUAAAAAUAGGCUCCCAAUUUUGUCUGGCUUUUAAGGUUUCUGUUGCAAAGUUUACUACUAAUCUGAUAGGAUUUCCUUUAUAAAUAAUUUGUUCUUUUUCUGUAGAUGCCCUUAAGAUUUUUUUUUAUCAUUGACUUUGGAUAGUCUGAUGACCAUAUGCCUUUGUGAUGCUUAUCUCAUUUAGUAUCUCACAAGUGUUCUCUGAAUUUCUUGAAUCUGGAUAUCCACCUCUCUAGCAAGAUUAGGGAAUUUUUUCUGGAUUAUUCUCCUAAAUAUAUUUUUCACAUUGCUUAUUUUUUCUUAUUCUCUUUCAAUAAUGCCUAUAAGUCAUAGGUACAGUCACUUUACAUAAUCCCAUAUUUCUUGAAGUCUAUAUUCAUUUUUUAAAAUUCUUUUUUAUUUAUUUUGGUCUGACUGGCUUUAUUCAAAAGACCACUCUUCAAUCUCUAAAAUUCUUUCUUCUGCUUGGUCUAGUCUAUUGUUAAAGCUUCCAACUAUAUUUUGAAAUUCACUUAGUUAAUUUGUCAAUUCCAGAAGUUCUAUUAUUUUAAUAUAGCUAUUCCAUCUUUCAUAUCCUAAAUUGUUUUUCUGUUUUUGUAUGUGCUGGUUUUCAACUUUCUCUUUUAUCUUAUUGAGUUUCCUGGCAGUCCAUAUUUUGAUUUAUUUAUCUGUCAUUUCAGACUUUUUAUUUUGAUUAAGAGUCAUUACUAGAGAGCUAGUAUAAUCCUUUGGAGGUAUCACUAUACUCUGUUUUUUGCACUGCUGGAAUUCUUGCACUAAUUCCAUCUCAUCUGAAGGAGCUGUUCCUUCUUAUUUUUGAAUCUGCUAUUGUUUGAAUGGGACUUUUAUAUUUUUAAAUUCUUUUUUUCCCAUGAGGGUAUGACUGUAGUUUAUGUUUUGUAUGAUUGUUUAACUUUAUUUCUAGGUUGUUUUAGAAGGCCAAGUAUUUGUAUGGGUUCCUUGGUUGGGGUUUUUGUUUGUUUGUUUGGUGGUUUUCGUUGAUACUACUUGUUUCGCAGUAGAUUGGAUGCAUGAACCAACAAUUCUCUCCUGCAGGGCUGAGAAUGUGCAGGUAUCAGGAUGCUUAUCUACUGCACUAGCACUAUGCACUUCUGGAAGCAAGUUUUUUAUUUGGUUGUGCAGUUCAAGCUUCAGUUCAGUAGGUGGCAGUUAAUUGUAAGAGCUUGAUUGCCCUCAGGUAGGUGAUGAUGAGUAGAAGCACCUGCUCUCAUGUGGCCAGUGGUGGUGGGAGAUUGUGUUGGAGUGUGCUAAGGUAUUCUGGGCUGGACUUGGGGAAUGCAACACCUCCUCAUUGUGGGAAGACAAUAAUUCAAUCCACUUCCCUAUCACACCCCUGUCACAGGGCUCAGGACUUUCAGUUUAUACAGACUUCGUCCUGUGUGGCUGUGGACUACAAAUAUGCCCCUCUAGCAGCUUUCACCUAACUGGGCUCAGGGCAGAGCCUUUUCUCAUAGUCCAGAACUGACUACUCUGGCUUGUCUGCCUCUGUUGCUGGGAUGCUGUUACUCUGUGUAGGAAGCAGGAAUUGAGCACUAUCCUUCAUGCAAGAACUAGCUGCACAAACUCACUUUCAACUGGGAUAGAACUGCCACAGGAAGGGCUGGAAUGGCUUUCUCCAAGUGCAUACAUCCACCCCCAGUGAGAAGAGUCUCUGCUGUGUUUGCAACAGUGAACAAGGAAAGCAUGGAGAUGACCCCGUCUCCUUGCCCUUGACAUUCCUACAUUGAUUGUCAAGGUGUUGAAAUUUCCACCAUGUAGUUUUUUCUCCACACUCACAGAGAGGCUCACGGUAAACCUCCUAAAGCAUCUUAUUAAAAGAGGUAAUGAGCUUUCUUGUUUCAAGGCCCUCAAACUUAACCUUUUUUUCCAAUAUUUAGAAAAGGCUUUUUCAGUUAACGCAACUCUUUCUUGCCUCAAAUUUUCUUUAAAAUUGUGAUGCAAAUAUAAUUCUCUGUAGUGAAUCUCUCUAACCUUUUCUAAAUUGAAAGCAUUAUGCAAACAUUUAUAGCAAUUUAAACAAUCAUUUUGGAUAGCAAUUUUAUGAGUCAAUAUUUCUUUCCAAGAAAAUGUUUGGCAAACUAUAAUUUUGGAGAAAAUAUUAAGAUUAACAUUUUAGUUUCCAGAAAUGAUUGUAUUUGUACUAUGAAGCAGAAAAUUUAUGUAAAUUAUUAAAAAUAAAAAACUUUUGGUAAUUAUUCUUUGUUUAAAAAAUUUAAUUAUAAUGCUUAAAAAUGUAAAUAUUUCUAUUAUACAUUAUUGAUAAAUAUUAAUAUUAUACUAAUAUAAAUAUUAUUACUCAUUAAUACUUAUAUUA
Long non-coding RNA from Homo sapiens (human), 2478 nucleotides. Lineage: Eukaryota; Metazoa; Chordata; Mammalia; Primates; Hominidae. The record is from Ensembl.